This 440-nucleotide ribosomal RNA is filed under the name uncultured bacterium. Its description in RNAcentral is "partial 16S ribosomal RNA". It matches the Rfam family "Bacterial small subunit ribosomal RNA", at positions 338 to 795 of the family's 1533-position model. The record is from RNAcentral.
CCUACGGGUGGCAGCAGUGGGGGAUAUUGCACAAUGGGGGAAACCCUGAUGCAGCGACGCCGCGUGUGGGAAGACGGUCCUCUGGAUUGUAAACCACUGUCCCCAGGGACGAAGAUGACGGUACCUGGGGAGGAAGCUCCGGCUAACUACGUGCCAGCAGCCGCGGUAAUACGUAGGGAGCGAGCGUUGUCCGGAAUUACUGGGUGAAAAGUGAGCGUAGGCGGGACUGCAAGUUGGGUGUCAAAUCUACCGGCUCAACCGGUAGCCGCACUCAAGACUGCAGUUCUUGAGGGAAGUAGAGGCAGGCGGAAUUCCUAGUGUAGCGGUGAAAUGCGUAGAUAUUAGGAGGAACACCAGUGGCGAAGGCGGCCUGCUGGGCUUUUACUGACGCUGAGGCUCGAAAGUGUGGGGAGCAAACAGGAUUAGAUACCCGAGUAGUC